CCUGGUUGAUCCUGCCAGUGGUCAUAUGCUUGUCUCAAAGAUUAAGCCAUGCAUGUUUAAGCAGAAGCCGCACAACGGUAAAGCCGCGAAUGGCUCAUUACAACAGCCGUCGUUUCUUGGAUCUCUAAUUUUACUUGGAUAACUGUGGUAAUUCUAGAGCUAAUACACGCACUGAAGCUCUGACCUUACGGGACGAGCGCAUUUAUUAGAACAAAACCAAUCGGGUUCUGCCCGUUCGUUGGUGACUCUGAAUAACUCUGCUGAUCGCACGGUCUCGCACCGGCGACGUAUCUUUCAAGUGUCUGCCUUAUCAACUUUCGAUGGUAGUUUAUGUGCCUACCAUGGUUGUAACGGGUAACGGAGAAUAAGGGUUCGACUCCGGAGAGGGAGCCUGAGAAACGGCUACCACUUCCAAGGAAGGCAGCAGGCGCGCAAAUUACCCACUCUCGGCACGAGGAGGUAGUGACGAAAAAUAACGAGACGGAUCUCUUUGAGGCCCGUUAUCGGAAUGAGAACAAUUUAAAUCCUUUAAAGAGGAUCUAGCGGAGGGCAAGUCUGGUGCCAGCAGCCGCGGUAAUUCCAGCUCCGCAGGUGUAUAUCUAUGCUGCUGCGGUUAAAAAGCUCGUAGUUGGAUCUGCGUGCUCGGAACCGGUUGGCUCACUGAGUUCAAACUGGUCUCCGGCGCUUUAUUGGCUGGUUUUCCCUUGAUGCUCUUAACCGGGUGUCUUGGGUGGCUAGCACGUUUACUUUGAAAAAAUUAGAGUGCUCAAUACAGGCGCAAAGCCUUGAAUAGUGGAGCAUGGAAUAAUAGAAUAGGACCUCGGCUCUAUUUUGUUGGUUUUCGGAACGCGAGGUAAUGAUUAAGAGGGACAGACGGGGGCAUUCGUAUUGCGACGUUAGAGGUGAAAUUCUUGGAUCGUCGCAAGACGGACGACUGCGAAAGCAUUUGCCAAGAAUGUUUUCAUUAAUCAAGAACGAAAGUUAGAGGUUCGAAGGCGAUCAGAUACCGCCCUAGUUCUAACCGUAAACGAUGCCAACUAGCGAUCCGCAGGCGUUAAACAACGACCUUGCGGGCAGCUUCCCGGAAACGAAAGUGUUCGGGUUCCGGGGGAAGUAUGGUUGCAAAGCUGAAACUUAAAGGAAUUGACGGAAGGGCACCACCAGGAGUGGAGCCUGCGGCUUAAUUUGACCCAACUCGGGAAAACUCACCCGGCCCGGACACCGUAAGGAUUGACAGAUUGAGAGCUCUUUCUUGAUUCGGUGGGUGGUGGUGCAUGGCCGUUCUUAGUUGGUGGAGCGAUUUGUCUGGUUUAUUCCGAUAACG
RNAcentral lists this ribosomal RNA (1324 nucleotides) under metagenome. Its description in RNAcentral is "SSU rRNA". It matches the Rfam family "Eukaryotic small subunit ribosomal RNA", at positions 3 to 1333 of the family's 1831-position model. The record is from RNAcentral.